RNAcentral lists this unclassified non-coding RNA (234 nucleotides) under plant metagenome. Its description in RNAcentral is "partial contains small subunit ribosomal RNA, internal transcribed spacer 1, and 5.8S ribosomal RNA". The stretch from base 1 to 55 matches the Rfam family "Eukaryotic small subunit ribosomal RNA", at positions 1778 to 1831 of the family's 1831-position model. The record is from RNAcentral.
GGAAGUAAAAGUCCGUAACAAGGUUUCCGUAGGUGAACCUGCGGAAGGAUCAUUCAUAAUAAAGUGUUUUAUGGCACUUUUUAAAAAUCCAUAUCCACCUUGUGUGCAAUGUUAGAUCUCGUCAAUCUUGGCGAGAUUUUUAUACAUCAACUCAUUCUUUAACUAAUUUGUCUGAAAAAUAUUAUGAAUACUUAAUUCAAAAUACAACUUUCAACAACGGAUCUCUUGGCUCUC